This 494-nucleotide ribosomal RNA is filed under the name uncultured bacterium. RNAcentral describes it as "partial 16S ribosomal RNA". It matches the Rfam family "Bacterial small subunit ribosomal RNA", at positions 28 to 507 of the family's 1533-position model. The record is from RNAcentral.
GACGAACGCUGGCGGCGUGCUUAACACAUGCAAGUCGAACGGAAAGGCCUGCUUUCCCUUGUGGAUUGCGGGUACUCGAGUGGCGAACGGGUGAGUAACACGUGAGUGAUCUGCCCCCAACUUGGGUAUAAGCCUGGGAAACUGGGUCUAAUUCCCGAUAGGACUGCAGGGUGGUGCCUGUGGUGGAAAACGAUUUUCUAGUAGUUGGGGAUGAGCUCGCGGCCUAUCAGCUUGUUGGUGGGGUAAUGGCCUACCAAGGCGGCGACGGGUAGCCGGCCUGGGAGGGUGGACGGCCACAUUGGGACUGAGAUACGGCCCAGACUCCUACGGGAGGCAGCAGUGGGGAAUAUUGCACAAUGGGCGGAAGCCUGAUGCAGCGACGCCGCGUGGGGGAUGACGGCCUUCGGGUUGUAAACUCCUUUCGACCGCGAGGAAGCCACCUGGUUGGAAGGGUGGUGACGGUAGUGGUAGAAGAAGCACCGGCUAACUACGUG